UACGUAGGUGGCGAGCGUUGUCCGGAAUUACUGGGUGUAAAGGGCGUGUAGGCGGGGAAACAAGUCAGAUGUGAAAUUCCAGGGCUCAACUCUGGCGCUGCAUCUGAAACUGUAUCUCUUGAGUGCUGGAGAGGAAAGCGGAAUUCCUAGUGUAGCGGUGAAAUGCGUAGAUAUUAGGAGGAACACCAGUGGCGAAGGCGGCUUUCUGGACAGUAACUGACGCUGGGGCGCGAAAGCGUGGGGAGCAAACAGG
This 253-nucleotide ribosomal RNA is filed under the name uncultured bacterium. Its description in RNAcentral is "partial 16S ribosomal RNA". It matches the Rfam family "Bacterial small subunit ribosomal RNA", at positions 524 to 776 of the family's 1533-position model. The record is from RNAcentral.